This 487-nucleotide ribosomal RNA is filed under the name uncultured bacterium. RNAcentral's name for it is "partial 16S ribosomal RNA". It matches the Rfam family "Bacterial small subunit ribosomal RNA", at positions 28 to 507 of the family's 1533-position model. The record is from RNAcentral.
GAUGAACGCUAGCGAUAGGCUUAACACAUGCAAGUCGAGGGGCAGCACAAGGUAGCUUGCUAUCUGGGUGGCGACCGGCGCACGGGUGCGUAACGCGUAUGCAACUUGCCCUAUACAGGAGGAUAACCCGUCGAAAGACGGACUAAUACUGCGUAUGCUCACAACUUGGCAUCAAGUGGUGAGGAAAGAAAUUCGGUAUAGGAUAGGCAUGCGUCCCAUUAGCUUGUUGGUGAGGUAACGGCUCACCAAGGCAACGAUGGGUAGGGGAACUGAGAGGUUUAUCCCCCAAACUGGUACUGAGACACGGACCAGACUCCUACGGGAGGCAGCAGUGAGGAAUAUGGGUCAAUGGGCGCGAGCCUGAGCCAGCCAAGUCGCGUGAAGGAGGACUGUCUUAUGGAUUGUAAACUUCUUUUAUACGGGAAUAACAAGAGUCACGUGUGACUCCCUGCAUGUACCGUAUGAAUAAGCAUCGGCUAACUCCGUG